This 273-nucleotide ribosomal RNA is filed under the name Glossopetalon spinescens (spiny greasebush). RNAcentral describes it as "partial 26S ribosomal RNA". It matches the Rfam family "Eukaryotic large subunit ribosomal RNA", at positions 672 to 946 of the family's 3401-position model. Lineage: Eukaryota; Viridiplantae; Streptophyta; Magnoliopsida; Crossosomatales; Crossosomataceae. The record is from RNAcentral.
AGUCUGACAUGUGUGUGAGUCAAUGGGCUAGUMAACCCGUAAGGCGCAAGGAAGCUGAUUGGUGGGAUCCCCCUAUGGGUUGCACCGCCGACCGACCUUGAUCUUCUGAGAAGGGUUCGAGUGUGAGCAUGCCUGUCGGGACCCGAAAGAUGGUGAACUAUGCCUGAGCGGGGCGAAGCCAGAGGAAACUCAGGUGGAGGCCCGYAGCGAUACUGACGUGCAAAUCGUUCGUCUGACUUGGGUAUAGGGGCGAAAGACUAAUCGAACCGUCUA